Molecule: transfer RNA, 72 nt
Filed under: Ictidomys tridecemlineatus (thirteen-lined ground squirrel)
Lineage: Eukaryota; Metazoa; Chordata; Mammalia; Rodentia; Sciuridae
Also listed under: 1 other name
Description: Spermophilus tridecemlineatus (thirteen-lined ground squirrel) tRNA
Rfam family: tRNA
About the family: Transfer RNA (tRNA) molecules are approximately 80 nucleotides in length.
Source: Rfam by way of RNAcentral
UGGGGUCUAGCUCAAUGGUAGAGCACUUGCCUGGCAUGCAUGAGGCUCUGGGUUCCAUCCCCAAUACCUCUU